UCAGGACGAACGCUGGCGGCGUGCCUAAUACAUGCAAGUCGAACGGUCUUUCUAUGGAAGCUUGCUUCCACUGAGAAGAUAGUGGCGAACGGGUGAGUAACACGUGGGUAACCUGCCCAUAAGAGGGGGAUAACAUCCGGAAACGGGUGCUAAUACCGCAUAGUUUUCUUGAUCGCAUGGUUGGGAAAGGAAAGACGGCCUUUGUGCUGUCGCUUAUGGAUGGACCCGCGGCGUAUUAGUUAGUUGGUGAGGUAACGGCUCACCAAGACGAUGAUACGUAGCCGACCUGAGAGGGUGAUCGGCCACAUUGGGACUGAGACACGGCCCAAACUCCUACGGGAGGCGGCAGUAGGGAAUCUUCCGCAAUGGACGAAAGUCUGACGGAGCAACGCCGCGUGAGUGAAAGAAGGUUUUCGGAUCGUAAAACUCUGUUGUCAGAGAAGAACAAGUUGGAGAGUAACUGCUCCAGCCUUGACGGUAUCUGACCAGAAAGCCACGGCUAACUACGUGCCAGCCGCCGC
This 521-nucleotide ribosomal RNA is filed under the name uncultured bacterium. RNAcentral describes it as "bacterial SSU rRNA". It matches the Rfam family "Bacterial small subunit ribosomal RNA", at positions 24 to 518 of the family's 1533-position model. The record is from RNAcentral.